UACGGAGGAUGCGAGCGUUAUCCGGAUUUAUUGGGUUUAAAGGGUGCGUAGGCGGACUGUCAAGUCAGCGGUAAAAUUGAGAGGCUCAACCUCUUCCCGCCGUUGAAGCUGGUGGUCUUGAGUGGAUGAGAAGUACGCGGAAUGCGUGGUGUAGCGGUGAAAUGCAUAGAUAUCACGCAGAACUCCGAUUGCGAAGGCAGCGUACCGGCAUCCAACUGACGCUGAGGCACGAAAGUGUGGGGAUCAAACAGG
Molecule: ribosomal RNA, 252 nt
Filed under: uncultured bacterium
Lineage: Bacteria
Description: partial 16S ribosomal RNA
Rfam family: Bacterial small subunit ribosomal RNA
Source: RNAcentral